RNAcentral lists this ribosomal RNA (476 nucleotides) under uncultured bacterium. RNAcentral's name for it is "partial 16S ribosomal RNA". It matches the Rfam family "Bacterial small subunit ribosomal RNA", at positions 30 to 507 of the family's 1533-position model. The record is from RNAcentral.
UUGAACGCUGGCGGCAUGCCUUACCCAUGCCAGUCGCACGGUAACAGGUUAAGCUGCCGAGUGGCGAACGGGUGAGUAAUGUAUCGGAACGUGCCCAGUCGUGGGGGAUAACUGCUCGAAAGAGCAGCUAAUACCGCAUACGACCUGAGGGUGAAAGCGGGGGAUCGCAAGACCUCGCGCGAUUGGAGCGGCCGAUAUCAGAUUAGGUAGUUGGUGAGGUAAAGGCUCACCAAGCCGACGAUCUGUAGCUGGUCUGAGAGGACGACCAGCCACACUGGGACUGAGACACGGCCCAGACUCCUACGGGAGGCAGCAGUGGGGAAUUUUGGACAAUGGGCGCAAGCCUGAUCCAGCCAUGCCGCGUGCGGGAAGAAGGCCUUCGGGUUGUAAACCGCUUUUGUCAGGGAAGAAAAGGUUCUGGCUAAUACCUGGGACUCAUGACGGUACCUGAAGAAUAAGCACCGGCUAACUACGUG